Molecule: ribosomal RNA, 468 nt
Filed under: uncultured bacterium
Lineage: Bacteria
Description: partial 16S ribosomal RNA
Rfam family: Bacterial small subunit ribosomal RNA
Source: RNAcentral
GACGAACGCUGGCGGCGUGCUUAAUACAUGCAAGUCGAACGGAAAGGCUCUACUUUUGCUUGGUGCUCGAUUGGCUAACGGUUGCGUAACACUUGAUUAACCUUCCCUUACCUUUGUGGUAACUUCAGGUAACUGUUGCUAAUACUAGCUAGUAGCUCCUGCUGUUUGUUGUUGGUUGGAAAUUUUCGGCGGUUGGGGAUGGACUCGCGGCUUAUCAGCUUGUUGGUGGGGUAGUUGAUUACCAAGGUUUCGACGGGUAGCCGGCCUGAGAGGGAGACCGGCCACAUAGGGACUGAGAAACGGCCCAGACUGAUACGGGAGGAAGCAGUGGGGAAUAUUGCAAAAUGGGCGGAAGCAUGAUGCAGCAACGCCGGGUGCGGGAUGACGGCCUUAGGGUUGGAAACCGCUUGAGACUGUGAAGAAGCGUGAGUGACGGUAAUGGGUAAAGAAGCAACGGCUAACUACGUG